UACCAGACUCCUACGGGAGGCAGCAGUGGGGAAUAUUGCACAAUGGGCGCAAGCCUGGUGCAGCCAUGCCGCGUGUAUGAAGAAGGCCUUCGGGUUGUAAAGUACUUUCAGCGGGGAGGAAGGGAGUAAAGUUAAUACCUUUGCUCAUUGGCGUUACCCGCAGAAGAAGCACCGGCUAACUCCGUGCCAGCAGCCGCGGAAAUACGGAGGGUGCAAGCGUUAAUCGGAAUUACUGGGCGUAAAGCGCAGGCGGGCGGUUUGUUUAGUCGGAUGUGAAAUCCCCGGGCGCAACCUGGGAACUGCAUUCGAAACUGGCAGGCUGGAGGCUUGUAGAGGGGGGUAGAAUUCCAGGUGUAGCGGUGAAAUGCGUAGAGAUCUGGAGGAAUACCGGUGGCGAAGGCGGCCCCCUGGACAAAGACUGACGCUCAGGUGCGAAAGCGUGGGGAGCAAACAGGAUUAGAUACCCCCGUAUCA
RNAcentral lists this ribosomal RNA (474 nucleotides) under uncultured bacterium. Its description in RNAcentral is "bacterial SSU rRNA". It matches the Rfam family "Bacterial small subunit ribosomal RNA", at positions 329 to 795 of the family's 1533-position model. The record is from RNAcentral.